CACAAAACACUCCAGAGCAACUUUAGGGAAUGCCUACUUUUCCCACAGGUAAUGUGAUAGAGAAGGAAUGCCUACUUUUCCCACAGGUAAUGUGAUAGAGAAGGAAUGUCUACUUUUCCCACAGGUAAUGUGAUAGAGAAGGAAUGCCUACUUUUCCCACAGGUAAUGUGAUAGAGAAGGAAUGCCUACUUUUCCCACAGGUAAUGUGAUAGAGAAGGAAUGCCUACUUUUCCCACAGGUAAUGUGAUAGAGAAGGAAUGCCUACUUUUCCCACAGGUAAUGUGAUAGAGAAGGAAUGCCUACUUUUCCCACAGGUAAUGUGAUAGAGAAGGAAUGUCUACUUUUCCCACAGGUAAUGUGAUAGAGAAGGAAUGCCUACUUUUCCCACAGGUAAUGUGAUAGAGAAGGAAUGCCUACUUUUCCCACAGGUAAUGUGAUAGAGAAGGAAUGCCUACUUUUCCCACAGGUAAUGUGAUAGAGAAGGAAUGCCUACUUUUCCCACAGGUAAUGUGAUAGAGAAGGAAUGCCUACUUUUCCCACAGGUAAUGUGAUAGAGAAGGAAUGCCUACUUUUCCCACAGGUAAUGUGAUAGAGAAGGAAUGCCUACUUUUCCCACAGGUAAUGUGAUAGAGAAGGAAUGCCUACUUUUCCCACAGGUAAUGUGAUAGAGAAGGAAUGCCUACUUUUCCCACAGGUAAUGUGAUAGAGAAGGAAUGCCUACUUUUCCCACAGGUAAUGUGAUAGAGAAGGAAUGCCUACUUUUCCCACAGGUAAUGUGAUAGAGAAGGAAUGCCUACUUUUCCCACAGGUAAUGUGAUAGAGAAGGAAUGCCUACUUUUCCCACAGGUAAUGUGAUAGAGAAAGAAUGUAUUUUCCCCCCAAUAUCGCCAUUGAUUUCCCCCAGCACCUGUAAUGCACGACACAGUGUGCCAAACUGUGGAUGUGAACACUCACGUCAGAGCUAACCCUGUUUGAGGCAACGACAACAAGCCAUCUGGGUAGUGGUGAGCCAUGCAAGAAAGGACAAAAGCCAGACGAGGACAUGAUGUUGCGAGAGUGAAGCU
Molecule: long non-coding RNA, 1064 nt
Organism: Oncorhynchus keta (chum salmon)
Lineage: Eukaryota; Metazoa; Chordata; Actinopteri; Salmoniformes; Salmonidae
Exons: 3
Source: RefSeq, a predicted model, not a curated record